GAGCUGUUGGAUUCGGGGCCGUAACACUGUCUGAGAGGUUUACAUUUCUCACAGUGAACCGGUCUCUUUUUCAGCAGCUUC
This 81-nucleotide microRNA precursor is filed under the name Podilymbus podiceps. RNAcentral describes it as "mir-128 microRNA precursor family". It matches the Rfam family "mir-128 microRNA precursor family". Lineage: Eukaryota; Metazoa; Chordata; Aves; Podicipediformes; Podicipedidae. The record is from Rfam by way of RNAcentral. RNAcentral also lists the same sequence under 1 other name.